CAAAGGUAAUGUGGUUUGGUAAGAAUAAUGCUCCUCUUCUCACAGGUGUGAUUACUACCUCUGAAGGUUUAGAGCUUGAGGUAGUCACCACACACAAGUACUUGGGAGUAUGGCUAGACGAUACACUGUAGUUCUCUCAGCACAUAUCAAAGCUGCAGGCUAAAGUUAAAUCCUCUAUUGUAAUCACUCCUCUUACACCCCAGCUGCCAAACUAACCCUGAUUCAGAUGACCAUCCUACCCAUGCUAGAUUACGAAGACAAUUUAUAGAUCGGCAGGUAAGGGUGCUGUCAAGCGGCAGGAUAAUCUUUACCAUUCGGUCAUCAGAUUUGCCACCAAUGCUCCGUAUACAGUGGCUUGCGAAAGUAUUCACCCUGCUUGGCAUUUUUCCUAUUUUGUUGUCUUACAACCUGGAAUUAAAAUAGAUUUUGGGGGGGUUGUAUCAUUUGAUUUUCACAACAUGCAUACCACUUUGAAGACGCAAAAUAUUUUUCAUUGUGAAACAGACAAGAAAUAAGACAAAAAACGGAAAACUUGAGUGUGCAUAACUAUUCACCCCCCCCAAAGUCAAUACUUUUUUUUCCUUAAAGGGGUGGAUCAGCUUAAUAUUGCGGAAAGAAUGUUGAUUCCAUCAAUAAUUGUGUGCAUCAUUUCCAAUCCCCAAUAUAUUUUUUGUAAAUAUAUAUAUCCAUACACGCAUGCUGUCACGUCCUGACCUUAGUUCCUUUUUUAUGUCUCUGUUUUAGGGCGUGAGUUGGGGUGGGCAUUCAAUGUUUUUGUUCUAUGUGUUGUAUUUCUGCUUUUGGCCUGGGAUGGUUCCCAAUCAGAGGCAGCUGUCAAUCAUUGUCUCUGAUUGAGAACCAUACUUAGGUAGCCUGUGUUCCCACUUUGAUUUGUGGGUAGUUGUUUUCUGUCUUUGUGUGUCUGCACCAGACAGAACUGUUUCGUUUCUUCCAUUUCACUUUGUUAUUUUGUUUUGUGCGUUCAGUCAAAUAAAUUAUGACGAACACUUACGACGCUGCAUAUUGGUCCGAUAUUUUCUCCUCCUCCUCCUCCUUCCAGAGACUCCCUCUGUCCAGCGCUUCCAGAGUCUCCCUCCUGUCCAGCGCUGCCAGAGUCUCCCUCCUGUCCAGCCCUGCCAGAGGCUCCCUCCUGUCCAGCCCUGCCAGAGUCUCCCUCCUGUCCAGCCCUGCCAGAGUCUCCCUCCUGUCCAGCCCUGCCAGAGGCUCCCUCCUGUCCAGCCCUGCCAGAGGCUCCCUCCUGUCCAGCCCUGCCAGAGGCUCCCUCCUGUCCAGCCCUGCCAGAGUCUCCCUCCUGUCCAGCCCUGCCAGAGCCGCCCGUCAGUCAGGAGCUGCCGGAGUCGCCCUACACGCCGGCGCUGCCGGAGUCUCCCGCCUGUCCGGCGCUGCCGGAAUCUCCCGUCUAUUCGGGGCCCGCUGUAAGGGUCCCCAGUCCGAGGUCGGCUGCGAGGGUCACCGCUCCUAAGGCGCCACUUAAGUGGGCCAAGACUAUGGUGGACUGGGGUCCACUUCCCGCGCCAGAGCCGCCACUGCGGACAGAUGCCCACCCAGACCCUCAUUCUUCAAGGCAAAACUGCUCCAGCUCCUUUUUUCAUUUAUUUAUUUUUUAUUUCACCUUUAUUUAACCAGGAAGGCUAGUUGAGAACAAGUUCUCAUUUGCAACUGCGACCUGGCCAAGAUAAAGCAAAGAAGUGUGACACAGACAACAAUACAAAGUUACACAUGGAGUAAACAAUAAACAAGCCAAUAACACAAUAAACAAAUCAAUGACACAGUAGAAAAAAAUAAAGUCUAUAUACAGUGUGUGCAAAAGGCAUGAUGAGGUAGGCAAUAAAUAGGCCAUAGGAGUGAAUAGUUACAAUUUAGCAGAUUAACACUGGAGUGAUAAAUGAGCAGAUGAUGAUGUGCAAGUAGAGAUACUGGUGUGCAAAAGAGCAGAAAAGUAAAUAAAAUAAUCAGUAUGGGGAUGAGGUAGAUAGAUUGGGUGGGCUAUUUACAGAUGGACUAUAUACAGCUGCAGCAAUCGGUUAGCUGCAAAGAUAGUUGAUGUUUAAAGUUGGUGAGGGAAAUAAAAGUCUCCAACUUCAGCGAUUUUUGCAAUUCGUUCCAGUCACUGGCAGCAGAGAACUGGAAGGAAAGGCAGUCAAACGAGGUGUUGACUUUGGGGAUGAUCAGUGAGAUAUACCUGCUGGAACAUGUGCUACGGGUGGGUGUUGUUAUCGUGACCAGUGAACUGAGAUAAGGUGGAGCUUUACCUAGCAUAGAUUUAUAGAUGACCUGGAGCCAGUGGGUCUGGUGACGAAUAUGUAGCGAGGGCUAGCCGACGAGAGCAUACAGGUCGCAGUGGUGGGUGGUAUAAGGCGCUUUGGUAACAAGACGGAUGGCACUGUGAUAGACUGCAUCCAGUUUGCUGAGUAGAGUGUUGGAAGCUAUUUUGUAGAUGACAUCGCUGAAGUCGAGGAUCGGCAGGAUAGUCAGUUUUACUAGGGUAAGUUUGGCGGCGUGAGUGAAGGAGGCUUUGUUGCGAAAUAGAAAGCUGAUUCUAGAUUAGAUUUUUGAUUGGAGAUGUUUAAUAUGAGUCCGGAUGUGUUCCGCUGGUGUACAGCAAUCAUUAAGUCAUACCACAGAUUCUCAAUUGGAUUGAGGUCUGGGCUUUGACUAGGCAAUUAAAUGUUUCUCCUUAAACCAUUCAAGUGUUGCUUUGGCAGUAUGCUUAGGGUCAGUGUCAAAUCGUCCCAGUCAGUCUCAAAUCUCUGGAAGACUGGAACAGGUUUCCCUCAAGAAUUUCCCUGUAUUUAGCAACAUCCAUCAUUCCUUCAAUUAUGACCAUUUUCCCAUUCCCUGCCAAUGAAAAACAUCCCCACAGCAUGAUGUUGCCACCACCAUGGUGUUGGUGUUCUCAAAGUGAUGAAAGGUGUUGGGUUUGCCCCAGACAUUUUCCUUGAUGGCCAAAAAGCUCAAUUUUAGUGUCAUCUCGACCAGAGUACCUUCUUCCAUAAUUUUGGGGAGUCUCCCACACACCUUUUGGCAAACACCACACGUGUUUGCUUAUUUUUUUUCUUUUAGCCAUGUAAAGACUGAUCUUUUUUUUAAAAAAUCUGCUAAACCAUUACAAUUAUAACUGGCUGUACUUAUUUCACCCCUUACCAUAACUAGAUACUAUUAUCAGGCUAAAUCGACCAUCAUUAGUGCUUGUAAAGUUACUGCCAUCAGAGGUAUUAUGAAGGUCAAAACUAGAGCUUUCAAAUGUCUGAUAUUUAGAAUUCAAGAAAUAGGUUCUAGCAAUAUUUGUUUUAUUCCAUUGCCUGUUUGCCUGUGAGCCAAUGCCACAGAUGUUAGAAAAUUGAGUCAAGAUAUUAUAUGUGUAACAAAUCUGAGUAGGUUGAUGUGUAUGAUAUUGGAUAUGAUAUAGUAAGUGUCUAAAAUGUCUGUAUAAGAGUAAGAUAAUGUGUAAUAACAUGGUUGAGUGUCUAUGUGUGUAACAUGUAGUGCGUACAGCCUUAAUAUUCAUGAUGAUAAUUGUAAUCUAUAUCGUAUCACCAUCAUAGUUGCAUCAUAAUUACCUUUAACAUAAUUGAAAAACACAUCCCAGCAUUUCCAUAGCAAUUGACGUUUCACAAGAUCAUGAAAGAGACUUUGCAUUACUCUGGAGACGGCUUCACUACAGUACAAAUAUAUUCCAUACAAUAUGUUAUUAUUCCCCAAUGCCCCUACUCUGAUAUCGUCCCCUUAAUUAUAAAACAGUUCUCGACAAUAGAGAGGGAGAGAAGAGAAAAGGAGAGAAAGAGAGAGUGAGAGAAGAGAGCGAGAUCAGGUGUGUGUGUAUGUAUAAGUCUGUAUGUGUAAGCAGUCAUGUAAUUGAGUACGUGUUCAUAUCCACUUCAUAAUGUUCAGAUAUUUUUAUAGUUCCCAUACCUUCUUUUUUUUCGUAACCUGAAGUCCCUGUAGAAUGUAUAAUUUGUCUCUACCUUCUUGCCCUUUGUGCCGUUGUCUGUGCCCAAUAAUGUUUUUACCAUGUUGUGUUGCUACCAUGUUGUGGUCAUGUUGUGUUGCUACCAUGCUCUGUUGUCAUGUGUUGUUGCCUUGCUAUGAUGUUGUCUCUACCUUCUUGCCCUUUGUGCUGUUGUCUGUGCCCAAUAAUGUUUUUACCAUGUUGUGUUGCUACCAUGUUGUGGUCAUGUUGUGUUUUUACCAUGUUGUGUUGCUACCAUGUUGUGUUUUUACCAUGUUGUGUUGCUACCAUGUUGUGGUCAUGUUGUGUUGUGGUCAUGUUGUGUUGCUACCAUGCUCUGUUGUCAUGUGAUGUUGCCUUGCUAUGUUGUUGUCUUCGGUCUCUCUUGUCGUGGUGUGGUUUGUCCUGUUUUUAGAUUUUUAUUCCCCCGUCCCCGCUGGAGGCCUUUUGCCGUCAUUGUAGACAAGAAUUUGUUCUUAACUAACUUGCCUAGUUAAAUAGAGGUUAAAAAAAUGUAUAUAUAUAUAUAUUCAGAGCCAUAUCCCUGUAAUGCUUAGAGAAGAUCUUAUGUCAAGUGUUAUUGAAGUGUUGUGGUUGCAGGUUCAUUUGGCACAUCUAAAGCCUUUUCUUUUGGGGUGCUGCUACAGGCCACCAGGUGCUAACAGUCAGUAUCUAAAUAAUAUGUGUGAAAUGUUUGAUAGUGUAUGUGAUGGAAACAAAGAGGUCUACUUUCUUGGGGACCUGAAUGUUGACUGGUUUUCAUCAAGCUGUCCGCUCAAGAGGAAGCUUCUCACUGUAUCCAGUGCCUGUAAUUUGGUUCAGUUUUAAUCAACCUACCAGGGUGUUUACAAACACUACAGGAACAAUAUCAUCCACAUGUAUCAAUCACAUUUUUACUAAUACUGUAGAACUUUGUUCUAAAGCUGUAUCCGUACCAAAACCUACUUUACCAUUCCUUCAAGUUCUCUGCUGCCUAUCACUCGUGUUAAUUUGCUUAAUUGUAAUUACUUCUCUCUUAUGGCCUAUUUAUAGCCUUACCUCCUCACGCCAUUUGCACAAACUGUAUAAAGACUUGUUUCUAUUGUGUACGUUUGUUUAUUCCAUUAUUCCAACUCUGUGUUGUUGUUUGUGUCGCACUUCCUUGCUUUAUGUUGGCCAGCUUGCAGUUGUUAAUGAGAACUUGUUCUCAACUGGCCUACCUGAUUAAACUCAGUACUUUGUGGAAGCACCAUUCUUCUCUGGAGAUCCUCUCAAGCUCUGUCAGUUUAGAUGGGGAGCAUCGCUGCAGACCUACAGUUGAAGUCGGAAGUUAGCAUGCACAGUUGGAAUCAUUAAAGCUCGUUUUUCACUCCACAAAUUUCUUGUUAACAAACUAAAGUUUUGGCAAGUCGGUUAGGACAUCUACUUUGUGCAUGACACAAGACCAACAAUUUUUUAAAGACCGAUUAUUUCACUUAUAAUUCACUGUAUCACUAUUCCAGUGGGUCAGAAGUUUACAUACACUACGUUGACUGUGCCUUUAAAUAGCUUGGAAAAUUCCAGAAAAGGAUGUUAUGGCUUUAGAAGCUUCUGAUAGGCUAUUUGAGUCAAUUGGAGGUGUACCUGUGGAUGUACUUCAGGGCCUACCUUCAAAACUCAGUGCCUCUUUGCUUGACAUCAUGGGAAAAUCCAAAGAAAUCAGCCAAGACCUCAGAAGAAAAAUUGUAGACCUCCACAAGUCUGGUUCAUCCUUGGGAGCAAUUUCCAAAUGCCUGAAGGUACUGCGUUCAUCUGUACAAACAAUAGUAUGCAAGUAUAAACACCAUGGGACCAUGCAGCCGUAAUACCGCUCAGGAAGGAGACAUGUUCUGUGUCCUAGAGAUGAACGUACUUUGGUGCGAAAAAUGCAAAUCAAUCCCAAAACAACAGCGAAGGACCUUGUGAAGAUGCUGGAGGAAACAGGUACAAAAGUAUCUAUAUCCACAGUAAAACGAGUCCUUUAUUGCCAUAACCUGAAAGGCCGCUCAGCAAGGAAGAAGCCACAGACUACGGUUUGCAACUACACAUGGGGACAACGAUUGCUUUUUGGAGAAAUGUCCUGAUCUGAUUAAAUAAAAGUAGAACGAUUUGGCAAUAAUGACCUUCGUUAUGUUUGGAGGAAAAAGGGGGAUUCUUGCAAGCCCAAUCGUGAAGCAUGGGGGUGGCAGCAUCAUGUUGUGGGGAUGCUUUGCUGCAGGAGGGACUGGUGCACUUCACAAUAUAGAUGGCAUCAUGAUGAAGUAAAAUUAUGUGGAUAUAUUGAAGCAACAUCUCAAGACAUCAGUCAGGAAGUUAAAGCUUGGUCGCAAAUGACCCCAAGCAUACUUCCAAAGUUGUGGCAAAAUGGCAUAAGGACAACAAAGUCAAUGUUUUGGAGUGGCCAUCACAAAGUCCUGACCUCAAGCCUCUAGAAAAUGUGUGGGCAGAACUGAAAAAGUGUAUGUGAGCAAGGAGGCCUACAAACCUGACUCAGUUACACCUGCUCAGUCAGGAGGAAUGGGCCAAAAUUCACCCAAAUUAUUGUGGGAAGCUUGAGGAAGGCUACCCAAAAUGUUUGACCCAAGUUAAACAAUUUAAAGGCAAUGCUACAAAAUAAUAAUUGAGUGUAUGUAAACUUCUGACCCACUGGGAAUGUGAUGAAAUAAAUAAAUGCUGAAAUAAAUAAUUAUCUGUACUAUUAUUCUGACAUUUCACAUUCCUAAAAUUAAGUGGUGAUCCUAACUGACCGAAGACAGGGAAUUUUUACAUGGAUUAAAUUUCAUGAAUUAUGAAAAACUGAGUUUAAAUGUAUUUGACUAAGGUGAAUGUAAACUUCCGACUUCAACUGUAUUUUCAGGUCUCCCCAUUGACGUCCAAUCGGGUUCAAGUCUGGGCUUUGGCUGGGCAACUCAAGGACAUUCACAGACUUGUCCCGAAGCCACUCCUGCAUUGUCUUGACUGUGUGCUUAGGGUUGUUGUCCUGUUGGGACGGUGAACCUUCACCCCAGUCUGAGGUCCUGAACACUCUGGAGCAGGUUUUCCAUCAAGGAUAUCUCUGUACAUUGCUCCGUUCAUCUUUCCCUCAAUCCUGACUAGUCUCCCAGUCCCUGCCGCUGAAAAACAUCCCCAUAGCAUGAUGCUGCCACCACCAUGCUUCAGUGUAGUAAUGGUGCCAUGUUUCCUCCAGACGUGACUCUUGGUAUUCAGAGCAGAGAGUUCCAUCUUGGUUUCAUCAGACCAUAGAAUCUUGUUUGUUUCUAUGGUCUGAGAGUCUUUUAGGUGCUUUGGGUUCUUAGGUGCAUCUGGUUCUCGGUAACCUCCCUGACCAUGGCCCUUCUCCCCUGAUUGCUAAUUUUGGCCAGGCUGCCAGCUCUAGGAAGACUUUUGGUGGUUCCAAACUUCUUCCAUUUAAGAAUGAUGGAGGCCACUGUGUUCUUGGGGACAUUCAAUGCUGUAGAAAUGUUUUGGUACCCUUCCCCAGAUCUGUGCCUCGACACAAUCCUGUCUCGGAGCUCUACGGACAUUUCCUUCAACCUUAUGGUUUGGUUUUUGCUCUGACAUCCACUGUCAACUAUGGGACCUUAUAUAAACAGGUGUUCCUUUCCAAAUAAUCAAUUGAAUUUACCACCGGUGGACUCCAAUCAAGUUGUAGAAACAUCUCAAUUUCAAGUCUCAUAUCAAUACUUAUGAAUACUUUUGUAAAUAAGGUAUUUCUGUUUCUGAAAAAUUUCAAAAACCUGUUUUCACUUUGUCAUUAUUGGGUAUUGUGUGUAGUUUGAUGAGAUGUUUUAUUUAUUUUUAAACCAUUUUAGAAUAAGGCUGUAACGUAACAAAAUGUGUAAAAAGUCUCAAACUAAACACUCUAAUGUACUUUUCCUCUUGCUCAGUUGUGCACUGGGGCCUCCCACUCUUUCUAUUCU
Molecule: long non-coding RNA, 7887 nt
Organism: Oncorhynchus tshawytscha (Chinook salmon)
Lineage: Eukaryota; Metazoa; Chordata; Actinopteri; Salmoniformes; Salmonidae
Source: Ensembl